GGGAUUGCCCUAGUAACGGCGAGUGAAGCGGCAAUAGCUCAAAUUUGAAAGCUGGCCUUCGGGUCCGCAUUGUAAUUUGUAGAGGAUGCUUUGAGGCAGCCGCCGGUCUAAGUUCCUUGGAACAGGACGUCAUAGAGGGUGAGAAUCCCGUAUGUGACCGGCUCUGGCACCUUAUGUAAAGCUCCUUCGACGAGUCGAGUUGUUUGGGAAUGCAGCUCUAAAUGGGAGGUAAAUUUCUUCUAAAGCUAAAUAUUGGCGAGAGACCGAUAGCGCACAAGUAGAGUGAUCGAAAGAUGAAAAGCACUUUGGAAAGAGAGUUAAAAAGCACGUGAAAUUGUUGAAAGGGAAGCGCUUGCAAUCAGACUUGGCUUCGGUUGUUCAACAGGUCUUCUGACCUGCCUACUCAAUCGUUGCCAGGCCAGCAUCAGUUUUGGCGGCCGGAUAAAGGCCCUGGGAAUGUGGCCGCUCCUUCGGGGGCGGUGUUAUAGCCCAGGGUGUAAUACGGUCAGCCGGGACUGAGGUCCGCGCUUCGGCUAGGAUGCUGGCGUAAUGGUUGUAAGCGGCCCGUCUUGAAACACGGACCAAGGAGUCUAACAUCUAUGCGAGUGUUAGGGUGUCAAACCCUUACGCGUAAUGAAAGUGAACGGAGGUGAGAACCCGCAAGGGCGCAUCAUCGACCGAUCCUGAUGUCUUCGGAUGGAUUUGAGUAUGAGCAUAGCUGUUGGGACCCGAAAGAUGGUGAACUAUGCCUGAAUAGGGUGAAGCCAGAGGAAACUCUGGUGGAGGCUCGCAGCGGUUCUGACGUGCAAAUCGAUCGUCAAAUUUGGGUAUAGGGGCG
Molecule: ribosomal RNA, 838 nt
Filed under: Endoconidioma rosae-hissaricae
Lineage: Eukaryota; Fungi; Ascomycota; Dothideomycetes; Dothideales; Dothideaceae
Description: eukaryotic LSU rRNA
Rfam family: Eukaryotic large subunit ribosomal RNA
Source: RNAcentral